ACCCAGAACUCGUCCGCGGGGUGGGUAAGUUCUCGAGGUCCAAAAUGUACCACAAGCGUGGUCUUUGGGCUCUCAAGGCCAAAAACGGCGGCGUCUUCCUUCGCCACGAUGCGAAGCCGGCAGCCGAGACCCAGCCUGAGAGGCCGCCCAAGUUCUACCCCGCCGACGACGUCAAGAAACCCCUCGUCAACAAACGCAAGCCCAGGCCCACCAAGCUCAGGGCUAGUGUUACAUCAGGGACGGUGCUGAUUGUUUAAGCUGGAAGGUUUAAGGGAAAGAGAGUUGUUUUUCUUAAUCAGCUUUCAUCUGGGCUACUUCUUGUUACUGGUUCCUUGGCCGUGAAUUCCACCCAAUGACGAUAACGUUGUUUUGUGGCGACA
Molecule: long non-coding RNA, 380 nt
Organism: Pyrus x bretschneideri (Chinese white pear)
Lineage: Eukaryota; Viridiplantae; Streptophyta; Magnoliopsida; Rosales; Rosaceae
Exons: 3
Source: RefSeq, a predicted model, not a curated record